UGUAUAAUGGGUCAGCGACUUAUAUUCUGUAGCAAGGUUAACCGAAUAGGGGAGCCGAAGGGAAACCGAGUCUUAACUGGGCGUUAAGUUGCAGGGUAUAGACCCGAAACCCGGUGAUCUAGCCAUGGGCAGGUUGAAGGUUGGGUAACACUAACUGGAGGACCGAACCGACUAAUGUUGAAAAAUUAGCGGAUGACUUGUGGCUGGGGGUGAAAGGCCAAUCAAACCGGGAGAUAGCUGGUUCUCCCCGAAAGCUAUUUAGGUAGCGCCUCGUGAAUUCAUCUCCGGGGGUAGAGCACUGUUUCGGCAAGGGGGUCAUCCCGACUUACCAACCCGAUGCAAACUGCGAAUACCGGAGAAUGUUAUCACGGGAGACACACGGCGGGUGCUAACGUCCGUCGUGAAGAGGGAAACAACCCAGACCGCCAGCUAAGGUCCCAAAGUCAUGGUUAAGUGGGAAACGAUGUGGGAAGGCCCAGACAGCCAGGAUGUUGGCUUAGAAGCAGCCAUCAUUUAAAGAAAGCGUAAUAGCUCACUGGUCGAGUCGGCCUGCGCGGAAGAUGUAACGGGGCUAAACCAUGCACCGAAGCUGCGGCAGCGACGCUUAUGCGUUGUUGGGUAGGGGAGCGUUCUGUAAGCCUGUGAAGGUGUGCUGUGAGGCAUGCUGGAGGUAUCAGAAGUGCGAAUGCUGACAUAAGUAACGAUAAAGCGGGUGAAAAGCCCGCUCGCCGGAAGACCAAGGGUUCCUGUCCAACGUUAAUCGGGGCAGGGUGAGUCGACCCCUAAGGCGAGGCCGAAAGGCGUAGUCGAUGGGAAACAGGUUAAUAUUCCUGUACUUGGUGUUACUGCGAAGGGGGGACGGAGAAGGCUAUGUUGGCCGGGCGACGGUUGUCCCGGUUUAAGCGUGUAGGCUGGUUUUCCAGGCAAAUCCGGAAAAUCAAGGCUGAGGCGUGAUGACGAGGCACUACGGUGCUGAAGCAACAAAUGCCCUGCUUCCAGGAAAAGCCUCUAAGCAUCAGGUAACAUCAAAUCGUACCCCAAACCGACACAGGUGGUCAGGUAGAGAAUACCAAGGCGCUUGAGAGAACUCGGGUGAAGGAACUAGGCAAAAUGGUGCCGUAACUUCGGGAGAAGGCACGCUGAUAUGUAGGUGAAGCGACUUGCUCGUGGAGCUGAAAUCAGUCGAAGAUACCAGCUGGCUGCAACUGUUUAUUAAAAACACAGCACUGUGCAAACACGAAAGUGGACGUAUACGGUGUGACGCCUGCCCGGUGC
This 1275-nucleotide ribosomal RNA is filed under the name Escherichia coli. RNAcentral describes it as "partial 23S ribosomal RNA". It matches the Rfam family "Bacterial large subunit ribosomal RNA", at positions 609 to 1869 of the family's 2925-position model. The record is from RNAcentral. Lineage: Bacteria; Pseudomonadati; Pseudomonadota; Gammaproteobacteria; Enterobacterales; Enterobacteriaceae.